GGGAAGUAAAAGUCGUAACAAGGUCUCCGUUGGUGAACCAGCGGAGGGAUCAUUACUGA
RNAcentral lists this ribosomal RNA (59 nucleotides) under Colletotrichum gloeosporioides. RNAcentral describes it as "partial 18S ribosomal RNA". It matches the Rfam family "Eukaryotic small subunit ribosomal RNA", at positions 1777 to 1831 of the family's 1831-position model. Lineage: Eukaryota; Fungi; Ascomycota; Sordariomycetes; Glomerellales; Glomerellaceae. The record is from RNAcentral.